AAGACUAUACUUUCAUGGAUCAUUUCUAUAGCAUUUGACUAGGAAAUGUGAUUUGAAAGUGUUGUGUCUCUCUAAUCACAAUGAUGAGUCAUAAUGUACUUUUCUGAAUGUGAAAUGAAUUUUAGCUAAUGAUUUAUUCAUGGGCUUUAAUUCUUGAUGAGUGUUCUGUACUUCUUGAGAAGUUGCAGAGGAAGAGUACAUGAUCAGAGUGAU
Molecule: small nucleolar RNA, 213 nt
Organism: Pangasianodon hypophthalmus (striped catfish)
Lineage: Eukaryota; Metazoa; Chordata; Actinopteri; Siluriformes; Pangasiidae
Product: small nucleolar RNA U3
Exons: 1
Source: RefSeq, a predicted model, not a curated record